This 1019-nucleotide long non-coding RNA is filed under the name Papio anubis (olive baboon). RNAcentral's name for it is "lncRNA (ENSPANG00000043540.1)". The record is from RNAcentral. Lineage: Eukaryota; Metazoa; Chordata; Mammalia; Primates; Cercopithecidae.
AGAGAGUGAGAUGUUAACAGAACAGUAUAGCAUAUGCUGAACAUAACAGCCUGCAGAGCCUUAUGUGUGGGUUUGAAUCCUAUUUCUUCUGCAUAUCCACUUAGAGGCUGGGUAAACUUGGACAAGCCACUUAACCACUGUGCCUUAUUUCACUCAUCUGCAGAGUGGAUAUAAUAAUAAUAAUAAUAUCAUCCUUAUAGGGUUGUAAUGAGGAUUAAACAAAUGUAUAUAUGCAAAUAAUAUGGCAAAUACUAUAAAAUUUUAGCUAUUAUUUUUAUCAAUGAGCUUUUUAAAUUAAUUGCUAAUAUUAACAUGAUUUAUUGAAUUAUAUUGAGUUAGUUCAGGUGUCCUUCAGUUUAACUGAUCAAUGGCUACACACAUAUCAAACAUGUAAAUAAUAGCAUCAAUAAGCUGUUUUUAAACAGUGCUGAUGCACCACUGAGCUAAAUAAACGUGCGCAGCAGUGAUGAAUUAUCCUAGUAAGUAGUUUAUUUUAUUUCCCCUGGAAGACUCUUGUCUCCUAGUAAUCUAUUUUUUAUUUGUUUGCUCUGUUAAUUGCCAGCCUAUUUAUAUUUGACUUGCAAAUCUGUGUUUUCUCACACCAAGUUCCAUUUUCUCCUACAAAUAUUUAUUAACAACCUACUAUAUACCUAACACAGAUAUAACUGACAUAAACACUUCUCUAAAAUAUCUCACAGUCUAGAAGGGAAGAUUAGGAAGUAAAAGAAUACAGCUGGCAUUUCUGGGCUGUGAUAGAAGACUGCUUAGCUACAGUGCAAUGAGACAGGAGAAGAGACUCCUCUUACUCAGACUCGAUGCCCUCAAAAUCUAAUAUACAAAGAGAGCAACACAUUUGGUUAAUUUUGGAAAAUGUUCAACCCAGGGAUUCUAGAACUCAUUAAGAGGCAAGACCUACAUUUAAUAGGUAAAUGUCUGGCAGAGUCAAAUUCACUCUUUAACCUGGAUGGCUUUCCUAACUCUUCCAUGUUCAAGGCACUGAUAAUCUGGCUGCACCAGUA